AUGGCGGCGAUGGCGACUUGCGGGACAAAGGAAGGAUUGCAAGACCAUCGUUCUGGAGGAUGGGUGAGACUUUAUGCAGAGGGGCUUCAACAUGCUCAUCAACAUCCUCGAGGGCCAGAGCCCGAGCACAACUCCGAAGACUACAUGAUGCAGCUGACCACCAUGUUAUACAACAUGUGCACGCAGAAUCCUACCCAUGACUACUCGCAGCAGCUCUACGACAAGUACGGUCAGUCCUUGAGGACUACAUCCAGGCCACCAUUAGCUCCUAUUUUGUGUGUGUGUGUGCCGGUGUUGUUGGUUUUCCGGUCCAACGAGUCAAGGCUAAGGAAAACAAGAUCAGAAUUUCUGCUACUACACUUCCUUGGUAUUGGCGCUUGGGGGUCCACAGCUGCAGAGAAACUGAUAGUUGGAGUUAGGGGAUAUGGAUAUAUCAGCCACAUCGGGUGA
Molecule: ribosomal RNA, 450 nt
Filed under: Triticum aestivum (bread wheat)
Lineage: Eukaryota; Viridiplantae; Streptophyta; Magnoliopsida; Poales; Poaceae
Description: partial small subunit ribosomal RNA
Source: RNAcentral